AAGAAUUCCAAAAGCCUAAUCAUAUGGUCUGGCUAAAUGAGCAUUAAGUAAUGCACCAUUAAAAGCCCUCAUGUUAUAAUCGAGCUACUUUUGGUUCUCAUGCUGAAGAACCAUUAAUUUAUUUUUAACCGAUGGUAUGUUAUCUGUGUCCAAAAUCUGUCAUAUUUGGCGUUGGACCCUUUAAAUCAGGAUGCUUUUAUGAUGGAAUUUAUGGACCCUUUCUAUGAAGUAAGCUUUCAUUGUGUAAAUUACGGACCUUUUUAGUCGUAAGGCUUUCCAAGGUAACUAUGGACCCUUUUCGUUGGAUGUUGUACGGCUUAACUAUGGACCUUACUAUUGGUAUGCUUUUCGAUGUAACUAUGGGCCAAAUUUGUCGGUUUCAGUCGGUAUGCUUUAAGAUGAAAUUACGGAGCCUUUCAGUUGUUAUGCUUUCCAAGGUAACUAUAGACCCUUUUUGUUGGAUGCUGUAUGGCUUAACUAUGGACCUUACUAUUGGUAUGCUUUUUGAUGUAACUGUGGGCCCAAUUUGUCGGUUUCCAGUCGGUAUGCUUUAAGAUGAAAUUACGGACCCUUUCAGUUGUUAUGCUUUCAAUGGUAACUAUGGACCCUUUUCGUUGGAUGUUUUACGGCUGAACUAUGUACCUUUCCUAUUGGUAUGCUUUUUGAUGUAACUAUGGGCCCAAUUUGUCGGUAUGCUUUCCAAUGUAAGUAUGGGCCCUUUCUGUUAGUAGGCUUCUUGAUGCAACUAUUGUAUGUACCCUUUCUGUUGGUAUUAUAUUUGAUGUAACUAUGAACUCUUCUUGUCGGUAUGCUUUAUGAUCUAAUUAUGAACCUUUCCGGUCGGUAUGCUUUAAGAUGAAAUUAUGGACCUUUCCGGGCGGUUUGCUUCUCCAUGUAACUAUGGGCCUUUCUUAUGGGUAUGCUUACGUUGUACAAUGGACCCUUCCCUAUCAGUAUGCGUUAUGCGUUACAAUCUAACUGACCAUUCUUGUCGGUAUGCUUCUCGAUGUAAAUAAUGAACCCUUCCUGUCGGUAUGCUUAUCGAUGUAAUCAUGGACCUUUCCUGUCGGUAUGCUUUAGGAUUUAAUUUAGUUUAACUAUGGAACCUUGUUGUCGAUAUGCUUUACGAUGCAACUAUGGAGCCUUCCUGUCGGUAAGCUUUUCGAUGUAAUUAUGCAUCCCUCAUGUCGGGAUGCUUUAUGCCUUUUGAAAUUGUGCCAAUGAUGUAGCAUAUCCUUGAUGAAACUACAAAGAUAAUGCCUUUUAGAAAAAUUGAGUCGCCACAUCCGAGACUCUCUCCUGUUAAGUAUUAGCUUCCUAGAUAAUCUUUCCAUUCUUGCAUAAUAUUUUGUUAGAAAGUCGGUUUGCAAAGUCUAUAUGGUAUGGCCAUACAAUACAAUUUAUGAAUUUCCUAUAUGAAGUAUUCGAAGACAGGUUACCUAGAAACUUAUUCUGAUUAAAGAAAUAGUUUUAUAUAUGUACAUUAUUAUAAAAUUCCCAAAAGCCCUAAUCAUAUGGUCCUGCUAGAUGAGCAUUAAGUAAUGCACCAUUAAAAGCCCUCUUUCUACAGUCGAGCUGUUUUUGGUUCCUUAUCCGUAGAUAGUUUAUGGGGUCUGAGAUUUAAUGUUUUAUAGAUACUGAACAAAACCCCUUUAGCCCUCUUUUGGUUAGCCAUCUGUUUGUGGAUUUAAAAAAAAAAGGUAUUUUAUUGGCCCUUUUUAGCAGUCCGUAUAUGCUUUGAUGUAAAAUAAUUGACCCUAUGACUCUAUUUCCUUGAUGGUGUUUACACCAUGAGCUAGUUAUCACGUUCAUGAACUUGUAUUUUAGUUUGAACCGAUGGUAUGCUAUCUAACUCUGUUAUAUAUGGUGUUGGGCCCUUUUCUCAGUAUGUUGUCCAUUACUCCACUAUAGUCUAUGAACCCUUUAGAUCAGUAAGCUUCUUGAUGGAAUGUAUGGUCCCUCAAUCGCUCACACGUAUAUGGACCCUUUCAAUUGGUGUGCUUUAAUUAAGUAAUUAUGGAUCCUUUCUGUUAUAUGCUUUUCGAUGUAACCCUUUAGAUCAGUAAGCUUCUUGAUGCAAUGUAUGGUCCCUCAUGGGUCCUUGUCGUAUACUUUACUAUGUAACUAUAGACCCUUUCUAUCGGUAUGUUUCUCCAUGUAAUUAUGGACCCUUCCUGUCGGUAUCCGUUACGAUGUAACUAUGAACCCUUCCUUUAUGAUGUAACUAUUGACCCUUAGUGUCGGUAUGCUUCUCGAUGUAACUAUGGACCCUUAUGAUCGGUAUGCUUUAUGAUGUAAUUAUGGACCUUUCCUAUCGGUAUGCUUUUUGAAAAGACACCAAUGAUGUAGCGUAUCCUUUCAUGAUACUACAAACAUAAUGUCUAAGAAAAAUUGAGUCACCACAGCUGAAUCUCUUUCCUAUUUAUAUUUAUUUUUUUGAACAACCACAUAAUUUCUUUCCCUCUCUUUCCUAUUAAGUGAUUAGCUUCGUAGAUAAUCUCUCUAUUUUCACAGAAUUUUGUUAGAAAGUUGGCUUGUAAAGUUUUGCCACACAAUGCAAUGUAUGAAUUUCUUAUGUGAUCUCUUUCAAAGUACUCGUAGACAAGUUACUUAGAGAAACUUAACCUGAUGGAAGAAGUAGUCUUAUAUGUGUUUAUUAUUAUAGGAAUCCCAAAACCCCUAAUCAUAUGGUUUGGCUAGAAGAGCAUUAAGUAAUGCACCAUUGUCUGAUAUUUGAUGUCCCGGGGAAACUAAAAAAAACCCUUUAGCCCUGCUUUUGUUGAGCCAUCUGUUUGUGGAUUCCUAUUUUCCUUUUUUAAUGAUUUAUAGGUCCUGUUUUAGCAGUCCGUAUAUGCUUUGAUGUAAAAUAAUCAACCCUUUUUUGUUGAUGGUGUUUACGUGUGAGCUGGUUAUCCUGAUGAACUAUUACUUUAAUUUCAACCGAUGGUAUGUUGUGCUCAAUAUCUGUGGCGUUGGACCCUUUUAUUAGUAUGUUGUCCACUAUAGUCUACGGACCACUAAAAUCGGUAUGCUUUUUGAUAGACAUUAUGGACUCUUGGUGAUUUACCAUAUACAUGUGAAACCAAUGUAUGUUAGAUGGUGCCAAAGUUUUCUUAUCUUACCAUAUUUUGUCAAACUAAUGAUAUGUCAGUCGUGUCAAAGCUCUGUUGCUGAGAAGUUGGCAUGGAAUUGCGUUACGAGAUGAUUAUGGUCUGCCUUCACAUUAUCCAAACAUAUUCUUAACCUUUUGGAUGUUAUAAUAUCUGGAUAAUGGACAAUGUUGUGUCAAAUUAUUCAUGACAAGUAUUUUUGGCUGAGUAAUGACAUGAUAAUGUCAAAGCUCUGUUGCUGAGAAAUUGGCAUGGAAUUGCGUUAUGAGAUCAUGAUGGUCUGCCUUCACAUUAUCUAAGCAUAUUCUUAACCUUUUGGAUGUUAUAAUAUCUGGAUAAUGGACAAUGUUGUGUCAAAUUAUUCAUGACAAGUAUUGAACACAUCAAUGUGGCAAUUAAUCUUAUUUUUAGCUCAAAUAGCAUAGUAUUUUCAUACCAGUACAUGCUUAAUGGAAGUUAUUGUGUCUUAAAGUAAGGAAAGGAAAGAUCUUAUUAUCUUUUGCACCUUGAGAGAUACAUCACAAUAUGGUUUAAAUCUUAAUCAUGGUUACAAGUGAAAUCUUCAAUGAUUGUCCAACAAAGACAGGCUUAAUUGAAGUAUGGACACUUGCAUAGCCAAUCUGCAAUAUAUUGAUGAUUCCAUUGCAUUGACAUGCUUUCAGGACUUUGUAUUGUAUAAGGCUGAGGCAGAGGAUAGCAUGGAUGGAAUCGUAGGUUUAAAUGCGAAUGAUGUUGACUCACCACUCAACAGACUUUGUAGGUGACUGUGCAUAGGGAGACGCAUUGGCAGCGAAUUUCUGACCCUUAAGCUUGCAGUGAUCUUCUUUAGUGCAAAUGAAAUAAUGGGGGCCGGGUUUAACCAAUGAUAUUCUAUCUGGGCCACUGGGGAUUAAUCUGAUGGGGUUUUCUUUAAUGCAUGGUCCGUAUGCCUCCUUAGUAACUUCUGCAACGGUAUGUCCUUUGGUGAAGUUAAACCAAAGAACAUCAGUUACUUUGAAUUUAAUGUUUGCUGCCCACAAGGUGUAAAAUGCGGGGUUUGGAGGUAUUGUCCAUCCGACAGCAUCCCCAACUGUAUACACGGUGCCAGCUGCUAGCGUGUUGUGAAACUGCAAAAACGCCACCAUGACGAUGGUUAUAACCACCAUCAGAUACAAACUGUGACCUGUCAUGAUUAACGAUCACUUGAAUUUUAAUGAUUGUGGUAUUGUUUUGGUGUUUUUAAUUUGGGUUUGUCAAUAUAUAUAUAGGGGAAUACAAUAUAGUUUUGUAUUGAUUUGGAGUUUGGAUUCAUUCACACAGUCACACAUACACUAUGUUGUAACUCGUUGUUCGUAUACACGGGACAUGAAACUCAAAUGAUCAUUCAGUUGUUUUCCAAAUAUACAGGAGGAUUUCUUAAGAUA
Long non-coding RNA from Erigeron canadensis, 4513 nucleotides. RefSeq lists it as uncharacterized. The record is from RefSeq and is a predicted model, not a curated record. Lineage: Eukaryota; Viridiplantae; Streptophyta; Magnoliopsida; Asterales; Asteraceae. The transcript has 2 exons.